AGCCGGGGUGUUAGCGGUACCUUGUACCUACAAUCCGCUAUAGUGGGGGUGAUGUUACACGGAGGGCUUUCUUUUGCGAAGCUGCCUCUGGUAAGUGGCGUUGAUGUCUGGGUCUCACGCGGCGAGACUCUGUGAACCGUGUCAGGUCGGGAACGAAGCAGCACUAAGCAGAUGCUUUCGGGUGUUGUGAGGGUGCCUGGCUGAGUUUACUGCCAGAGUAACGUUCGGGGG
Molecule: signal recognition particle RNA, 231 nt
Filed under: human gut metagenome
Description: Bacterial large signal recognition particle RNA
Rfam family: Bacterial large signal recognition particle RNA
About the family: The signal recognition particle (SRP) is a universally conserved ribonucleoprotein involved in the co-translational targeting of proteins to membranes. Archaeal SRP consists of a 7S RNA and homologues of the eukaryotic SRP19 and SRP54 proteins.
Source: RNAcentral